UGUAAGCGUAUACCAAAGUUGUUGCAGUUAAAACGCUCGUAGUCGGAAUUUGGCAGUUCCGGAUGUGUGCACGUCGUGUGCGCACUUCGCGGGGAUUGCUUUUGUGGUCUUGCGUAGGAUGAGGCACUUUUAUUAGUGAACGUCCUCACGCAACCACUUUUUACUGUGAGAAAAUCAGAGUGCUCAAAGCAGGCAUUUGCCGUGAAUGUAUUAGCAUGGAAUAAUAGAAUAGGACUUGGUUCUAUUUUGUUGGUUUGUUGGGACUGAGUAAUGAUUAAGAGGGACGGUUGGGGGCAUUUGUAUUUCGGUGCUAGAGGUGAAAUUCUUAGAUUACCGAAAGACAAACCGCUGCGAAAGCGUCUGCCAAGGAUGUUUUCAUUGA
RNAcentral lists this ribosomal RNA (382 nucleotides) under uncultured eukaryote. RNAcentral's name for it is "partial 18S ribosomal RNA". It matches the Rfam family "Eukaryotic small subunit ribosomal RNA", at positions 592 to 976 of the family's 1831-position model. The record is from RNAcentral.